Homo sapiens (human) is the source of this 271-nucleotide long non-coding RNA. Lineage: Eukaryota; Metazoa; Chordata; Mammalia; Primates; Hominidae. The record is from Ensembl.
UUUGUCAGACUCUUACAUUGACAGGGUGAAGACACUACCCAGGAGAAAACAGUGAGGGCAGGGUUCAAGGCCAACUCCCACACAGUCAGGAGAAAUGUGGAUGCAAUUGUGCUGUCGAUUUUAAAGGUCUGCAUCUCCUCAUCCCUAUCCGAUUUUAAAGGUCUGCAUCUCCUCAUCCCUAUCCGAAUGCGUUUCCUUCUUUAAGAACGUGAUUCUAAACGGAAGCGCUCUACAUGGUGUGAGCCUGUUACCAAGAAUACAUCUCCCGAGA